This 490-nucleotide ribosomal RNA is filed under the name uncultured bacterium. Its description in RNAcentral is "partial 16S ribosomal RNA". It matches the Rfam family "Bacterial small subunit ribosomal RNA", at positions 30 to 507 of the family's 1533-position model. The record is from RNAcentral.
AUUGAACGCUGGCGGCAGGCCUAACACAUGCAAGUCGAACGGUAACAGGAAGCAGCUUGCUGCUUUGCUGACGAGUGGCGGACGGGUGAGUAAUGUCUGGGAAACUGCCUGAUGGAGGGGGAUAACUACUGGAAACGGUAGCUAAUACCGCAUAACGUCGCAAGCCCAAAGAGGGGGACCUUAGGGCCUCUUGCCAUCGGAUGUGCCCAGAUGGGAUUAGCUAGUAGGUGGGGUAACGGCUCACCUAGGCGACGAUCCCUAGCUGGUCUGAGAGGAUGACCAGCCACACUGGAACUGAGACACGGUCCAGACUCCUACGGGAGGCAGCAGUGGGGAAUAUUGCACAAUGGGCGCAAGCCUGAUGCAGCCAUGCCGCGUGUAUGAAGAAGGCCUUCGGGUUGUAAAGUACUUUCAGCGGGGAGGAAGGGAGUAAAGUUAAUACCUUUGCUCAUUGACGGUACCCGCAGAAGAAGCACCGGCUAACUCCGUG